This 479-nucleotide ribosomal RNA is filed under the name uncultured bacterium. Its description in RNAcentral is "bacterial SSU rRNA". It matches the Rfam family "Bacterial small subunit ribosomal RNA", at positions 8 to 501 of the family's 1533-position model. The record is from RNAcentral.
AGAGUUUGAUCCUGGCUCAGAGUGAACGCUGGCGGUGUGCUUAACACAUGCAAGUCGAACGAGAACGGUACUAGCUUGCUAGUAUGUCAGCUAAGUGGCGGACGGGUGAGUAAUGUAUAGUUAAUCUGCCCUUUAGAGAGGAAUAACUACUGGAAACGGUAGCUAAUACCUCAUACUCCUUCUACCUUAAUGGUAGUUGGGAAACGUUUUUUCGCUAAAGGAUGAGACUAUAUGGUAUCAGGUAGUUGGUGGGGUAAGAGCCUACCAAGCCUAUGACGCCUAGCUGGUCUGAGAGGAUGAUCAGCCACACUGGAACUGAGACACGGUCCAGACUCCUACGGGAGGCAGCAGUGGGGAAUAUUGCACAAUGGAGGAAACUCUGAUGCAGCAACACCGCGUGGAGGAUGACACAUUUCGGUGCGUAAACUCCUUUUAUAUGGGAAGAUAAUGACGGUACCAUAUGAAUAAGCACCGCUAAC